Molecule: ribosomal RNA, 903 nt
Filed under: Parastagonospora avenae f. sp. tritici
Lineage: Eukaryota; Fungi; Ascomycota; Dothideomycetes; Pleosporales; Phaeosphaeriaceae
Description: eukaryotic LSU rRNA
Rfam family: Eukaryotic large subunit ribosomal RNA
Source: RNAcentral
GCAUAUCAAUAAGCGGAGGAAAAGAAACCAACAGGGAUUGCCCUAGUAACGGCGAGUGAAGCGGCAACAGCUCAAAUUUGAAAUCUGGCUCUUUUAGGGUCCGAGUUGUAAUUUGCAGAGGGCGCUUUGGCGUUGGCAGCGGUCCAAGUUCUUUGGAACAGGACGUCACAGAGGGUGAGAAUCCCGUACGUGGUCGCUAUCCUUCGCCGUGUAAAGCCCCUUCGACGAGUCGAGUUGUUUGGGAAUGCAGCUCUAAAUGGGAGGUAAAUUUCUUCUAAAGCUAAAUACUGGCCAGAGACCGAUAGCGCACAAGUAGAGUGAUCGAAAGAUGAAAAGCACUUUGGAAAGAGAGUCAAAUAGCACGUGAAAUUGUUGAAAGGGAAGCGCUUGCAGCCAGACUUGCCUGUAGUUGCUUAUCCGGACUUUUGUCCGGUGCACUCUUCUGCGGGCAGGCCAGCAUCAGUUUGGGCAGUUGGAUAAAGGUCUCUGUCAUGUACCUCUCUUCGGGGAGGCCUUAUAGGGGAGACGACAUGCAACUAGCCUGGACUGAGGUCCGCGCAUCUGCUAGGAUGCUGGCGUAAUGGCUGUAAGCGGCCCGUCUUGAAACACGGACCAAGGAGUCUAACAUCUAUGCGAGUGUUUGGGUGUCAAGCCCAGACGCGUAAUGAAAGUGAACGGAGGUGGGAACCCUUUGGGUGCACCAUCGACCGAUCCUGAUGUUUUCGGAAGGAUUUGAGUAAGAGCAUGGCUGUUGGGACCCGAAAGAUGGUGAACUAUGCUUGAAUAGGGUGAAGCCAGAGGAAACUCUGGUGGAGGCUCGCAGCGGUUCUGACGUGCAAAUCGAUCGUCAAAUUUGGGCAUAGGGGCGAAAGACUAAUCGAACUAUCUAGUAGCUGGUCCUGC